CCAAUAGCGUAUAUUAAAGUUGUUGCAGUUAAAAAGCUCGUAGUUGAAUUUCGGGAUUGGCGCAUCGGUCGUGCCUUACGGGGUAUGAACUGGUGCAGUCAAUUUCUCACCUUCUGGAGAACCGCGAUGUCCUUAAUUGGGUGCCGCGGGGAACCAGGACCUUUACUUUGAAAAAAUUAGAGUGUUUAAAGCAGGCAUUUUUGCUUGAAUACAUUAGCAUGGAAUAAUAAAAUAGGACGGCAUGGUUCUAUUUUGUUGGUUUCUAGGACCACCGUAAUGAUUAAUAGGGAUAGUUGGGGGCAUUAGUAUUCAAUUGUCAGAGGUGAAAUCCUUGGAUUUAUUGAAGACUAACUACUGCGAAAGCAUUUGCCAAGGAUGUUUUCAUUAAUCAAGAACGAAAGUUAGGGGAUCGAAGACGAUCAGAUACCGUCGUAGUCUUAACCAUAAACUAUGCCGACUAGGAAUCAGACGAUGUUAAUUUUUUAAUGACUCGUUUGGCACCUUACG
Molecule: ribosomal RNA, 507 nt
Filed under: uncultured Glomeromycotina
Lineage: Eukaryota; Fungi; Glomeromycota
Description: partial small subunit ribosomal RNA
Rfam family: Eukaryotic small subunit ribosomal RNA
Source: RNAcentral